CCUACGGGUGGCAGCAGUGAGGAAUAUUGGUCAAUGGGCGAGAGCCUGAACCAGCCAAGUCGCGUGAGGGAGUACUGCCCUAUGGGUUGUAAACCUCUUUUGUCGGGGAGCAAAAGCCGGACGUGUCCGGCUGUGAGAGUACCCGAAGAAAAAGCAUCGGCUAACUCCGUGCCAGCAGCCGCGGUAAUACGGAGGAUGCGAGCGUUAUCCGGAUUUAUUGGGUUUAAAGGGUGCGCAGGCGGAGUUUUAAGUCAGCGGUAAAAUCGUGGGGCUCAACCCCAUCCAGCCGUUGAACCUGGGGAUCUAGAGUGUGCGAGAGGUAGGCGGAAUGCGUGGUGUAGCGGUGAAAUGCAUAGAUAUCACGCAGAACCCCGAUUGCGAAGGCAGCAUACCGGUGCACAACUGACGCUCAGGCACGAAAGCGUGGGUAUCGAACAGGAUUAGAUACCCCUGUAGUC
RNAcentral lists this ribosomal RNA (458 nucleotides) under uncultured bacterium. Its description in RNAcentral is "partial 16S ribosomal RNA". It matches the Rfam family "Bacterial small subunit ribosomal RNA", at positions 338 to 795 of the family's 1533-position model. The record is from RNAcentral.